GACGAACGCUGGCGGCGUGCCUAAUACAUGCAAGUUGAGCGCUGAAGGUUGGUACUUGUACCAACUGGAUGAGCAGCGAACGGGUGAUUAACGCGUGGGGAAUCUGCCUUUGAGCGGGGGACACCAUUUGGAAACGAAUGCUAAUACCGCAUAAAAACUUUAAACACAAUUUUUACGUUUUAAAGAUGCAAUUGCAUCACUCAAAGAUGAUCCCGCGUUGUAUUAGCUAGUUGGUGAGGUAAAGGCUCACCAAGGCGUUGAUACAUAGCCGACCUGAGAGGGGGAGAGGCCAAACUGGGACGGAGACACGGCCAAAACUACUACGGGAGGCAGCAGUAGGGAAUCUUUGGCAAAGGACGAAAGGCGGAACGAGCAACGCCGGGUGAGUGAAGAAGGGUUUAGGAUCGUAAAACUCUGUUGGUAGAGAAGAACGUUGGGGAGAGUGGAAAGCUCAUCAAGUGACGGUAACGACCCAGAAAGGGACGGCUAACUACGUG
RNAcentral lists this ribosomal RNA (497 nucleotides) under uncultured bacterium. RNAcentral's name for it is "partial 16S ribosomal RNA". It matches the Rfam family "Bacterial small subunit ribosomal RNA", at positions 28 to 507 of the family's 1533-position model. The record is from RNAcentral.